UCCGGGUUUCGCCCGGCAGUCUCCCUAGAACAUUCAACUAAGGACUAACACCAGUCGUUCGAGCCCAGGUAAGGUUUUUCGCGUAGCGUCGAAUUAAACCACAUGCUCCACCGCUUGUGCGGGUCCCCGUCAAUUCCUUUGAGUUUUAACCUUGCGGCCGUACUCCCCAGGCGGGACACUUAAUGCGUUAGCGUCGGCACGGAAGGGGUUGAUACCUCCCACACCUAGUGUCCAUCGUUUACAGCUAGGACUAC
RNAcentral lists this unclassified non-coding RNA (254 nucleotides) under uncultured Elusimicrobia bacterium. RNAcentral describes it as "contains 16S-23S intergenic spacer region". Lineage: Bacteria; Pseudomonadati; Elusimicrobiota; Elusimicrobia. The record is from RNAcentral.